RNAcentral lists this transfer RNA (63 nucleotides) under Dipodomys ordii (Ord's kangaroo rat). It matches the Rfam family "tRNA". From Rfam's summary of the family: Transfer RNA (tRNA) molecules are approximately 80 nucleotides in length. Lineage: Eukaryota; Metazoa; Chordata; Mammalia; Rodentia; Heteromyidae. The record is from Rfam by way of RNAcentral.
GGGGAUGUGGCUCAGUGGUAGAGUGCUUGCUUAACAUGCAUGAGGCCAUGGGGUUCAUUCCCC